AUUCUUUCUCCAUCCUGCAACAUUAUGUGCUUACUUCCAUCGUUCAACAACAAAUCUACCUCCUGUUUCAAUGAAACCAAAGGAAAAAUAAUUCUGAUGAAGUCAAAGCAUGGUAAGAAAAAAUUUGUAAACCUUAGCAAAGUGAGGAUAUGAUAGGGAUGUGGAGAGAGCCGGGAGAAUUCUAGAGAAUUACAGAAGAAUUUCUAACAGAAAGGAUGAGCUGCUGGGAGCAUGUGAUGACAGCU
RNAcentral lists this unclassified non-coding RNA (245 nucleotides) under Hevea brasiliensis (rubber tree). The record is from RNAcentral. Lineage: Eukaryota; Viridiplantae; Streptophyta; Magnoliopsida; Malpighiales; Euphorbiaceae.